CGAAAGUUAGAGGUUCGAAGGCGAUCAGAUACCGCCCUAGUUCUAACCAUAAACGAUGCCAGCCAGCGAUCCGGCUGUGUUCCUCAAAUGACACGCCGGGCAGCUUCCGGGAAACCAAAGCUUUUGGGUUCCGGGGGAAGUAUGGUUGCAAAGCUGAAACUUAAAGGAAUUGACGGAGGGGCACCACCAGACGUGGAUGUUGCGGUUCAAUUUGACUCAACGCAGCAAAUCCUACCAGGCCAGGACACAGGAAGGAUUGACAGAUUGAGAGCUCUUUCUUGAUUCUGUGGGUGGUGGUGCAUGGCCGUUCCUGGUUCGUGGAGCGAUUUGUCUUGUUUAUUCUGAUAACGGACGAGAUUCUAGCCUACUAAAUAGACGCUUCGAUCCUUCGAGUCGAGCGUUCUUCUUAGAGGGACAGGCGGUGUUUAGCCGCACGAGGCAGAGCAAUAACAGGUCUGUAAUGCCCUUAGAUGUCCUGGGCCACACGCGUCCUACAUUGAAGGAAUCAACGUGUGCUUUCCCUGUCCGAAGGGACUGGGUAACCCGUUGAACCUCCUUCGUGCUGGGGAUAGGAAAUUGUAAUUAUUUUCCUUGAACGAGGAACUUCUAGUAAGCGCGAGUCAUCAUCUCGGGUUGAUUAGGUCCCUGCCCCUUGUCCACACCGCCCGUCGCUAUUACCGAUUGAAUGAUUUAGUGAGGUCUUCGGACUGGCGCUCGGAUUGGCCUUCGGGUCGAGCCGGCGUGCCGGAGAGAUGACCGAACUUGACCAUUUAGAGGAAAUAAAAGUCGUAACAAGG
This 797-nucleotide ribosomal RNA is filed under the name Micronetinae sp. 2 LT-2015. Its description in RNAcentral is "SSU rRNA". It matches the Rfam family "Eukaryotic small subunit ribosomal RNA", at positions 984 to 1799 of the family's 1831-position model. Lineage: Eukaryota; Metazoa; Arthropoda; Arachnida; Araneae; Linyphiidae. The record is from RNAcentral.